CAAAUUGGGACAAGAGACACCUAAGAUGCUAUACUUCAUUUGAAGAAAAUGUUUCAGUGGAAGCAAUAUCUUUGGAUGAUUCUGUAGUCUCGGACAAAUUUUCUUGAGCUCGAGUUGGAUUAGCUCGUUUUCCUCCCCUUCCCCUUAUGGGUCGGUCAUGAAGUUUCCAACAAGUUUCUUUUGUAUUCUUCAGUUUUCCACGAUACUCAUACUGCAUGUGGUCUUUGUAAGGAUUCUU
This 238-nucleotide long non-coding RNA is filed under the name Gossypium barbadense (sea-island cotton). RNAcentral's name for it is "long non-coding RNA (GBAR_LNC007122)". The record is from RNAcentral. Lineage: Eukaryota; Viridiplantae; Streptophyta; Magnoliopsida; Malvales; Malvaceae.